AUGGUCGCCUACGUGGGCGGUGCUCGGAGAAGGCUGGCGCCGCAGCGCGUGCUCGAGAUCCUGGCGGGCAAGCUCGACAUCACGGAUGAUCAGGUCUCGGUGCACCCGUACAGGCCAGAGGAUUUCCUGGUAGUUUUCGCCUCGGCGGCGAUCAGGAACAGAGUCGCGGCGUGUCCGGAGGUGGAGUUCCAGGGAGAUAGGCUGUACUUCAGACCGUGGAACCGGCAGUCACAGGCAGUGCACUCGAUCUUGGGAUCUAAGGUUUGGAUCGUCAUGGAGGGGAUCCCGCCCCAUGCUUGGGAGAGGGAGACGGCGGAGGACCUUCUAGGCACGGCGUGCAAGGUGGACGCGGUGGCGCCGGAAACUAGCUCAAGGUCAGAUCUUUCGGCAUUCAGGCUCACGGCGUGGACUGCUAAUCCAGAGGCGAUCCCUUCCCUUCGCUGGCUCGCCAUCCCGGAGCCUGGCUCGGAGAUCCCUCCGCCGCUGUUGCAGUACAAGGUUCUCAUACACGUCGACGCAGUUGCAGACUUCAUAGAAGCUGGGGAGCCUUGGUUCUUGGGCGGCUCCUCCGAUAGUGGUCAGAGCGGUCUGCCAGGCUCGCCGGAUGGGUUCAGUGACGAUGGAGGCGGCGCCAGGCCGCGGCAGCGAGUUUGGCAGUUUUGUGUGAGAGAUGCGCGCGGCGGCGAGCUUGGGCGCGAGGGAAACGGCGGCGGCCAUGGUGGCUCAACGAGGAGCGCAGAGAGGACAGACUGGCGCCUGCCCCCGAUGGCCCCCACCCCGGUCGUGUCGCAUGGCGGGCCCACGAUGAGGGUGCAGGAUAGGGUGACAGCCAGGAAGUCAGCUUUUGACUGUCUUUCGGGUCAGCAGCUGGGUGGGGACGCACGAGAGAAGGUUCCCGAGACUAGUUUGAACAGUGGUGGCGCGUUUUUGACCGGGUAG
RNAcentral lists this ribosomal RNA (939 nucleotides) under Triticum aestivum (bread wheat). RNAcentral's name for it is "partial small subunit ribosomal RNA". The record is from RNAcentral. Lineage: Eukaryota; Viridiplantae; Streptophyta; Magnoliopsida; Poales; Poaceae.